UGCAAUAGUAACUGAACUUGGUACGAGAGGAACCGUUCAUUCGGAUAAUUGGUAUUUGAGCCUGCCUGAGCAGGCAAUGGCCCGAAGCUAUGAUCCGUUGGGUUAUGGCUGAACGCCUCUAAGUCAGAACCCGUGCUAGAACGCG
Molecule: non-coding RNA, 145 nt
Filed under: Linnemannia elongata AG-77
Lineage: Eukaryota; Fungi; Mortierellomycota; Mortierellomycetes; Mortierellales; Mortierellaceae
Description: Mortierella elongata AG-77 Eukaryotic large subunit ribosomal RNA
Rfam family: Eukaryotic large subunit ribosomal RNA
Source: Rfam by way of RNAcentral